GGAGCUAGGACUUAGAGCUGAGUGAGCAUCAGGGAGAGAGGGAGGGACAGAGAGAGAGAGAGAGAGAGAGAGAGAGAGAGAGAGAGAGAGAGAGAGAUUGGCUGCUGGUGCUGGAUAACCCUGCUUGCCAGCUGCCUCAGUCAACAACUUCCUGAGCUGCUUUUUCUUUUACAAAAGGAUGUCAGCUCUGAGAGCCAGCGAGAAAUAACAGACUUCACCUUGGAACAGCUCAACACUCGUGCAGCAUUAAAGCAGAUCUGAAGAAAAACACAAAAAUCAAGCACUCAGCCAGCCCCUCUUCAUGACUACAUUGCAGAGAGAACAGUUUCAUGCUCCAGAAAGGGCCUGACCUCCCAUGGGUGUCAACGAAGCGUGGCGUGUCAAGCUGAGGUAAGACUAAGCUCCCUGCUUUCUAUUAAGAUUGGGCAAGGCAACCCAGUAUGAGGAAUAGAUUCCUGGACUCCAGCCAAAUUAUUAUGCUCCCACCUUAGGAAGGAAUCCUACAAGUAAAUAAAGCUAUACAACUAUCACACAUAUGAAGAGGGCCUAGAUCAGUUCCAUGAAGGCUUCUUAGCUGUUGGUCGAGAAUCUGUGAGCUCCUAUGAGCCCAUGUUAGUUGUUUCCAGGGGUUCCACUGGCAUGACCUUGACCCUCCUGCCUCAUGCAAUCCUUCCUCCCUUUCUGACAUUCCUUGAGCAUGACACAGUGCUUGGAUGUGCAUCUCUCCAUUUGCUUCCCUCAUUCAUUUGUGAAAGCUCUCUGAUGAUAAUCAUGGUUGUUAACAAUCUGAUUAUACAAAUAACCCCCCACACUUAUAUUACCUGAGAACAUGGACAAACUAUAGAGAGUGGAGAUUAGAAAGGAGCCCUAUCAACAUGGAAUCAUAGUAGUACAUGCACAGUGUGAAAAUCCCUGAAAAUGACAAAACAAGACAUAUUUUAUUAUAGAAAUAAGAAAAAAUCUCAUCUGAAUGCAUAACUAAUAACAUGAAUAGAUACCCCCUAUAUUAAUAAAAUUGAAAGUUUGUAUGACAGUAAAGCUAC
RNAcentral lists this long non-coding RNA (1043 nucleotides) under Cricetulus griseus (Chinese hamster). RNAcentral describes it as "lncRNA (ENSCGRG00015043339.1)". Lineage: Eukaryota; Metazoa; Chordata; Mammalia; Rodentia; Cricetidae. The record is from RNAcentral.